UGGGGAAUAUUGCACAAUGGAGGGAACUCUGAUUCAGCAACGCCGCGUGCGGGAUGACGGCCUUCGGGUUGUAAACCGCUUUCAGCCAUGACGAAGCUUUUGUGACGGUAGUGGUAGAAGAAGCACCGGCUAACUACGUGCCAGCAGCCGCGGUGAUACGUAGGGUGCUAGCGUUGUCCGGAAUUAUUGGGCGUAAAGAGCUUGUAGGCGGUUUGUCGCGUCGAUAGUGUAAACACGCAGCUUAACUGUGUGCCUGCUGUCGAUACGGGCUGACUAGAGGAGGGUAGGGGAGAAUGGAAUUCCCGGUGGAGCGGUGGAAUGCGCAGAUAUCGGGAGGAACACCAGUGGCGAAGGCGGUUCUCUGGACCUUUCCUGACGCUGAGAAGCGAAAGCGUGGGUAGCAAACAGG
This 409-nucleotide ribosomal RNA is filed under the name Fusobacteriota bacterium. RNAcentral describes it as "Fusobacteria bacterium partial 16S ribosomal RNA". It matches the Rfam family "Bacterial small subunit ribosomal RNA", at positions 355 to 776 of the family's 1533-position model. The record is from RNAcentral. Lineage: Bacteria; Fusobacteriati; Fusobacteriota.